GAUGAACGCUGGCGGCGUGCCUAAUACAUGCAAGUCGAGCGAACAGACGAGGAGCUUGCUCCUCUGACGUUAGCGGCGGACGGGUGAGUAACACGUGGAUAACCUACCUAUAAGACUGGGAUAACUUCGGGAAACCGGAGCUAAUACCGGAUAAUAUAUUGAACCGCAUGGUUCAAUAGUGAAAGACGGUUUUGCUGUCACUUAUAGAUGGAUCCGCGCCGCAUUAGCUAGUUGGUAAGGUAACGGCUUACCAAGGCAACGAUGCGUAGCCGACCUGAGAGGGUGAUCGGCCACACUGGAACUGAGACACGGUCCAGACUCCUACGGGAGGCAGCAGUAGGGAAUCUUGCGCAAUGGGCGAAAGCCUGACGGAGCAACGCCGCGUGAGUGAUGAAGGUCUUCGGAUCGUAAAACUCUGUUAUUAGGGAAGAACAAAUGUGUAAGUAACUAUGCACGUCUUGACGGUACCUAAUCAGAAAGCCACGGCUAACUACGU
RNAcentral lists this ribosomal RNA (496 nucleotides) under uncultured bacterium. RNAcentral describes it as "partial 16S ribosomal RNA". It matches the Rfam family "Bacterial small subunit ribosomal RNA", at positions 28 to 506 of the family's 1533-position model. The record is from RNAcentral.